GGAUGCCUCAGUACGGCGAGUGAGCGGCAAAAGCUCAAAUUUGAAAUCUGGCACUUUCAGUGUCCGAGUUGUAAUUUGUAGAAGUAGUUUUGGGACUGGUCCUUAUCUAUGUUUCUUGGAACAGGACGUCAUAGAGGGUGAGAACCCCGUAUGAUGAGGCCCCCAGUCCUUUGUAAAACGCUUUCGAAGAGUCGAGUUGUUUGGGAAUGCAGCUCUAAGUGGGUGGUAAAUUCCAUCUAAAGCUAAAUAUUGGCGAGAGACCGAUAGCGAACAAGUACAGUGAUGGAAAGAUGAAAAGAACUUUGAAAAGAGAGUGAAAAAGUACGUGAAAUUGUUGAAAGGGAAGGGCAUUUGAUCAGACAUGGUGUUUUGCGCCCUUUGCUCCUUGUGGGCGGAGGAUACGCAGCUCACUGGGCCAACAUCAGUUUUGGGAGCAGGAUAAAUCUGUAGGAACGUAGCUUUCUUCGGGAAGUGUUAUAGCCUAUGGGAAUACUGCUACCUGGGACUGAGGACUGCGUCUUUUGACAAGGAUGUUGGCAUAAUGGUUAAAUGCCGCCCGUCUUGA
RNAcentral lists this ribosomal RNA (565 nucleotides) under Hanseniaspora occidentalis. RNAcentral's name for it is "partial large subunit ribosomal RNA". It matches the Rfam family "Eukaryotic large subunit ribosomal RNA", at positions 72 to 657 of the family's 3401-position model. Lineage: Eukaryota; Fungi; Ascomycota; Saccharomycetes; Saccharomycodales; Saccharomycodaceae. The record is from RNAcentral.